This 507-nucleotide long non-coding RNA is filed under the name Bos taurus (domestic cattle). Its description in RNAcentral is "long non-coding RNA NONBTAT005994". The record is from RNAcentral. Lineage: Eukaryota; Metazoa; Chordata; Mammalia; Artiodactyla; Bovidae.
GCAUGACAACUCUUAGUAUUUCAUGAAAAGAAAAUGCAGCCCCUAGGAGAACGUCAGGUGUCCAUAGCUUGGCAUUUAACCUCUCCCCAAAUUCAUUUAUCUUCAGACUGCUUUUUCAGUCUCACAUGUCAGUACAGUCACUCUGCACAUACUGUGGCCUCUUUACAGCAGAUAUUCUGGAUUCUCAGACCUCACCACAUAAACGUCCUCCUCUGUUUCUAGCCGCACUGUCAUCCUGUUCCAAAAUGUUUCCCUACUCUGCCCAUCCCGACCCCUGCACUCUACUUACUCUUUAGGAAACUGAUCAUCACCACCAUUCAGGACCAGAGCGGCCUCCUCCAAGAAGCUUUCCCCCUCCCCCACCUCAAUCAAAUGUUUUCUCCUCUUCCAGGUGAUGUCACUUUGCCUCUUUUUCGGUUUAAUCCAGGCUUUGAUAAAGUCCAUUGUUUGCAGGCUUGUCUCCCUUAAUCUGUAGUUUUUUGAAGGCAAGAUCUACUUCACCCACUC